Molecule: long non-coding RNA, 1018 nt
Organism: Astatotilapia calliptera (eastern happy)
Lineage: Eukaryota; Metazoa; Chordata; Actinopteri; Cichliformes; Cichlidae
Source: Ensembl
CAGAGAUGGGCAGUAACGCGUUACUUGUAACGCGUUACUGUAAUCUGAUUACUUUUUUCAAGUAACGAGUAAAGUAAGGGAUUACUAUUGCAAAAUCGGUAAUUAGAUUACCGUUACUUUCCCGUAGGAACGCUGCGUUACUGCGUUACCAAAACCGUGAUUUUUUUUGCGAGAAUGUCUCAUGACAGUGACGUCGUUGGUGACAGCAGCUGUGUGCAGAUCAACAAUGGAUAAUAUAUCGAGUGCGGGAGAGAGUAUGAGCGUGCAGCGUUUAAAGUGUGGAAGUACUGACCUUACUUUGAGUUUGAUUCCAUAAAAAGUGACAAAAACAUUAGCGUCCAUCGUGCGUGGGAAGAAAACUUCUUUUUACAGCGAAAAAAACCCCCUAAACUUCCAAGCAAGCACCGAGUAGCUACGACGUGAUGGGAAACUCACAGAGACACUCGCGCGGAUUCUUCAACUGACCGCAGCACACCUGCACCAGGGUAACCCUCCGCCUACCCUGCUCCUGCUUUACAGGUGAAAAUAGAGCAAAAGGACCGCUGAGUCUUUGACUUUAUUUAUUUUCUGCUGUGUUUUACUUGCAUCUGUUUGAAAGAGUGAGUGAAAACACAAAAAAUAUUUUAUUUUAUGAGCUGGAAUGUGUAGAAAAUAGGUUUAAAUGUUAAACUAAUUUCUUCCAGUCAGAGAAUGUUGCAUAUAAUUAAAUGUUUUGCUUGAUGCAUAAAGUUAAAAGAUUAAAACUGAUAAAACAAGUUUUAAAAAGAGACUUUUCCAUUUGAUUACAUUUUGUAUGAUGGCUUAUGUAGAAAAAGUAGAAUUGGGCUGAAAGAUCUAUCGCUUUAUCACCUCUUCAGGUUGUAAAUUGUGUUUUUAAAAAGUAACUAAGUAACUAAGUAACUAAGUAAUUAAUUACUUUUGAAAAUAAGUAAUCAGUAAAGUAACGGGAUUACUUUUUUGGGGGAGUAAUCAGUAAUUAGUUACUGAUUACUUUUUUCAAGUAACUUGACCAACACUG